Symsagittifera roscoffensis is the source of this 910-nucleotide long non-coding RNA. RefSeq lists it as uncharacterized. The record is from RefSeq and is a predicted model, not a curated record. The transcript has 3 exons. Lineage: Eukaryota; Metazoa; Xenacoelomorpha; Acoela; Convolutidae.
GCUACUUUUUUAUCAUAAAAGAUUACUUUGUAUAAUAAUUUUGCAUAAUUUUUCUGCAAUGCUGUAAUCGUGCUUCACAAGUUGAUAGAGUUCAUUUUCCAUAAAAAAUUUGAUUGUGACGAAUAUUGCUGAAAAAACUUUGUGUCGAAGAACAAAAAUCUUUCUUACUUAAAAUUUCUCAAAAAAAGAAGCUUCUUCUGAUAGAAUCUCAAAAAUGGACAGUGAUCAUUCUGAUUUCAAUUUUUCAAACUCGUCGACUGAGAGCCCAGACAAUUCAAACCCCUUCACAAUUCCUCCCUCGACCUUUAUUUGGGUGGUUGUUUCAGUCGCAAUAGUCUCAAUGACAUCCCAAGCUGCAGUAAUUUUGAUUGCUUUCGGUCUGAAAGGCGAUUUCUCAGCCCAAACUAUCAUGAUUGUGCAAUCGGUUUCAGAAAUUUUGAAAAUGGCUCAAAUUGUUCAGCGGGCAGUAUGCGGUCUAUCAGGUGGAGCGUGGCUAGCUUGCGUUCAUCACAACGUAACACUUUUGUGCAAAUUGGCGAAAAGUUCCAGCGAUCUUCUGAACACGUUUCCAGACCACAUGGGACUCUUUCUGGCGCUCGAUCGAUAUCUGGCAGUCAAGCACGGAGUGUGGUAUAGCCAGAACUGCACCCGAAAAGCGGCCUGGAUUGUGAUUGUGCCUGCUAUCUUGAUCAGAAUACCAGAUGUCGCAAUUGCUUUUGUCGCUGCUGAGAUUGUACCGGAGCAGGGCUGUUCUGACGUCGGAAUUGCCCCUUUUGUAUCUCAAAUUGUGGUGGGUGCAUUGGGUGCGCCAUCUAUUGCGGUCGGUGUUGUCUUCACAAUUCUUCUGAUUGUCGAGCUGAACCGAAGAAGAAAGAUCAGACAACCUGCGCUACGGAAUCUGCUCGCAAAA